Molecule: non-coding RNA, 135 nt
Organism: Triticum aestivum (bread wheat)
Lineage: Eukaryota; Viridiplantae; Streptophyta; Magnoliopsida; Poales; Poaceae
Source: Rfam
UUUCUAAUCCCUCCGUCCGAAAAUACUUGUCAUCAAACUGGAUAAAAAGAGAUGUAUCUAAAACUAAAAUACGUCUAGAUACAUUUCCUCUUGUCCAUUUUGAUGAUAAGUAUUUCCGGACGGAGGGAGUAUUUG